GUAGAAUGUAACGGUUGUAGUGUGGAUGUAGUGCUGUAAUGGGGUAGAAUAUACCGGUUGUAGUGUGUAUGUAGUGCUGUAACAGGGGUAGAAUGUACCGGUUGUAGUGUGUAUGUAGUGCUGUAACAGGUGUAGAAUGUAACGGUUGUAGUGUGUAUGUAGUGCUGUAACAGGUGUAGAAUGUAAUGGUUGUAGUGUGUAUGUAGUGCUGUAACAGGGGUAGAAUGUAAUGGUUGUAGUGUGUAUGUAGUGCUGUAACAGGUGUAGAAUGUAAUGGUUGUAGAAACUAACAGCAGUCAAGCAUAAUGGAUGUACUUUCCAGUUGUACUUGACGUUUUUCCGUUUUUAAUAGCGUGUUUUCAGUGUGCUGUGCCCUCAUAUGAGGUGCACGUUUCCUGACACAUCAUUUUCU
This is a long non-coding RNA of Ictalurus punctatus (channel catfish), 412 nucleotides long. Lineage: Eukaryota; Metazoa; Chordata; Actinopteri; Siluriformes; Ictaluridae. The record is from Ensembl.